GAAGAAUCAAGUAUGGGAGAAUCAAGUUGUGGGUCUUGCUGCAUUAAUGUCUAGGAUAACCUUUUCUUAGCAGCUCAACCAAGGCAACUUUUUUUUGUCUUAACGUCGGUGUUCUAAAAUUUUUAAUUAUUUAGAAAAUAUCCUAAUAUAUUCAUUAUAUAUUUAUUUGAUAAAAAAAUUCUCAUCUUUCGAAAAAUGAUUUUUGAUAACUUCUUAAUUAGUAGUUGAAUUGAUUAGUUCCGAAUCUUAUUUAUACAACCACG
Molecule: long non-coding RNA, 263 nt
Filed under: Daucus carota (carrot)
Lineage: Eukaryota; Viridiplantae; Streptophyta; Magnoliopsida; Apiales; Apiaceae
Description: long non-coding RNA (DCAR_LNC003458)
Source: RNAcentral